UGGGGGAUAGCCUUUCGAAAGAAAGAUUAACACCGCAUAACAUCACGAAAGGGCAUCCUUUUUUGAUCAAAUAUUUAUAGGAUAAAGAUGGUCAUGCGUGACAUUAGCUAGUUGGAGAGGUAAUGGCUCACCAAGGCGACGAUGUCUAGGGGAUCUGAGAGGAUGACCCCCCACACUGGUACUGAGACACGGACCAGACUCCUACGGGAGGCAGCAGUAAGGAAUAUUGGUCAAUGGGCGCAAGCCUGAACCAGCCAUGCCGCGUGCAGGAAGACGGCCCUACGGGUUGUAAACUGCUUUUAUUCGUGAAUAAAUCACCUUACGUGUAAGGUGUUGAAAGUAGCGAAAGAAUAAGGAUCGGCUAACUCCGUGCCAGCAGCCGCGGUAAUACGGAGGAUCCAAGCGUUAUCCGGAUUUAUUGGGUUUAAAGGGUGCGUAGGCGGAUUAUUAAGUCAGAGGUGAAAUUUUGCGGCUCAACCGUAAGCUUGCCUUUGAUACUGAUAAUCUUGAAUUAACUUGAGGUAGGCGGAAUGUGACAAGUAGCGGUGAAAUGCAUAGAUAUGUCACAGAACACCAAUUGCGAAGGCAGCUUACUAAGGUUAUAUUGACGCUGAGGCACGAAAGCGUGGGGAUCAAACAGGAUUAGAUACCCUGGUAGUCC
This 661-nucleotide ribosomal RNA is filed under the name uncultured organism. RNAcentral's name for it is "bacterial SSU rRNA". It matches the Rfam family "Bacterial small subunit ribosomal RNA", at positions 137 to 796 of the family's 1533-position model. The record is from RNAcentral.